UACGUAGGGGGCAAGCGUUGUCCGGAUUUAUUGGGCGUAAAGCGCGUGUAGGCGGCAAGGUGUGUCGUGCGUGAAAUCUCCCGGCAUAACUGGGAGGGGCCGUGCGAAACUGCCUCGCUUGAGGUCGGAAGGGGAAAGUGGAAUUCCGGGUGUAGUGGUGGAAUACGUAGAUAUCCGGAGGAACACCAGCGGCGAAGGCGGCUUUCUGGUCCGAUUCUGACGCUGAGACGCGAAAGCGUGGGGAGCGAUCCGG
This 253-nucleotide ribosomal RNA is filed under the name uncultured prokaryote. RNAcentral's name for it is "partial 16S ribosomal RNA". It matches the Rfam family "Bacterial small subunit ribosomal RNA", at positions 524 to 776 of the family's 1533-position model. The record is from RNAcentral.